GCGCAAGAACGGACACCACCACAAAUAAAUUAUUCGUGCGUGCCUCGUUGGUAAUAGUGGUGUCGUGGUGUGUGUAAGUUGCUAGCUGGUGGCUACCCAAGUAGAGUGUUACACACGAGCAUAAGUGUACGCAGUUUUUACGUAGUUUUCAAGGUUGUUAAAUUGAAUUUUUAAACUUUUCCAAAAUAAACUACUAGUUACAAAUUUAUCGUUAAUAUGGGACGUAAAAAGAAAAAGCAAUCGAGGCCAUGGUGCUGGUAUUGCAAUAGGGAAUUUGACGAUGAAAAGAUUCUCAUUCAGCACCAAAAAGCAAAACAUUUUAAGUGUCACAUAUGCCAUAAAAAGCUUUAUACUGGUCCUGGACUAAGUAUACAUUGUAUGCAGGUUCAUAAAGAGACAAUAGAUAAAGUUCCAAACUCACUUCCAAAUCGUAGUAAUAUAGAAAUAGAAAUCUAUGGUAUGGAAGGUAUUCCUCCAGAUGAUCUGAAGGAGCACGAAAGGCAAAGAAAUGGUGGUCGACCUGGCUCACCAAGUUCUGGUGAAGAUGAGCCAGUUCCUAAAAAAUCCAAACCAGAAGGUUUGUUAGGUACUGCACCUGGAGCAGGCAUGAUGCAUGGGAUGCCUGGACAUCCAGGAAUGCAUAUGGGCCAAUUCCCACCAUCUAUGCAUCAUAUGAUGGGACACAUGGGACAUGUUGGUCCGCCAUUCAUAGGACCUGGUAUGAUGCCAGGAAUGCCUCCAGGCAUGCCACCAGUAAGUGCAGCAUCAUUGCCAAGUAGGCCACUAUUUCCUAGUGCCACAGCUGUUUCCUCAGCAGCAUCGACUGGUGUUUCUACACCAUUAGGAGCUGAUUUCAAGCCCAUCACAUCUAUAGCUGGCAGUUCUAUAGGACCUGUUAAACCCACAUUUCCUGCUUAUAGCAGUGGAGAUAACGGGACCUCAACGUCUACUACCUUUAGUGAUACAAAAGUUAACAUGAUUGCCACCACUGGUGCAACUAGUAAAAUCAUUCACCCUCCAGAAGAUCUCAGUCUGGAGGAAAUCCGGGCGAGAUUACCAAAGUAUCAGCGUAAAAACGGUGACGAGUCUCGCUUGGGCCAGUCAGAGUCGGCCGCCCAUCAGCAACAGCAGCAACAAGCAGCAGCGUUGCAACAACAACAAGCGCAUCAUCAACAGCAACAAGCGGUAGCAGUGGCAGCUGCAGCGGCUCAUCAGCAUCAAGCAGCGGCGGCGGCUGCGCUGCAAGAUCAACAACAACGCCAACAGGCUGCAUUGAGCGCGCUGCAGCAGCAACAGCAGCAACAGCAACGUUUUCCAAGGCCACCACAAGUAAUGGCAAUGCCACAGGUGUCGGCGGCCAUGCCUGUGAGUUCGGUCGCACUCAUGGCACCGCUUAUGCGACCGACCAUGACAUUAGCCGCACCGGCCCUUAUUCAUGGAGGUAACAUGAUGCGACCGCCCCCCAUGGGCCUGCCACCAGGGCACCCUGUCACUCCUCGAUGAGUGUCGAUACAGAACCCCAGUCUGGUUACUAUAACCCGUGUUUUAGACAAGUACAACAAAGGUAUGAUAGGAGCAGCUCUACCACCGGGUGCAAUGCAUCCGGCCUUUGCAACUCCAAUGGGUUUCCCCGGUGCGCCGAUGCUGGCGCCUAUGAUGCACCCGCGUUUCAGAUGAUCGCCUCCGUGCGCGGAUGGGCCACCUUUGCAUUUUGUGCUCUGGGCGAGACCCUAAAAAUAUUUUUUUAAAAACUAUCAUCGGAAGGCAAAGAUGAAUACACAGGCGGAGAGAGACUUUCUUAAUUUCAAGUUAACAUGAAAAAUCAUGCACUGUUCUACAAUGACUUGACGAUCUUGGCUCUGUUGCUAUACGAGACUUCUUAUCAUUUUUUCCGCUCGUGGCUCACGUCUCUGUCUCUCUCUCUCUCUCUCUCUCUCUCUCUCUCUCUCUCUCUCUCUCUCUCUCUCUCUCUCUCUACCUCUACCUCUACCUCUCUUUCUUUCUCUCUCUCUCUUUUACUCGCUCUCUCUUUCUCUGUUUAAAGGGAAUGAAAGUCACGUAUAAAACGGAAAAAAUUGAUUAAGCUAUCUGUUUGCAAUUCUUGAUUUUGGGACUUAAAUUACACGGCUAGUGACAUAUGGUAAUAGAACUUUUGUUUACGAAUCAUGUAGAAAGGGAGAUAGUUAAUUGUCAUUGGUCGUAAAAGUUUAAGGGAUUAAAUUCGAUAAUAACAAGUGGCUUUGUAUUUUAAAUAAUACAAGUUCAGAUAAUAAAUAGCACUUCAAUGACUGCUUCUGUAAACUAAAUAAAUAAAAAAUUGUCAAUCAUCGCGUAGUAUCAACAGUCUCGAGAACCUGAUUACCGCUAGAGUAUUUAGUGAAUUUUUGUAUUAUAUUUCGUAAAGCGUAAUAAGAAAACGAGUGAAGAAGUAUAAAUGGGGACAAGCUAAGAGUAUCAAAACGUCAAGAAACAUUAAAAAUCGUUAUAAAAUGAUACUACGAGAGAGAGAGAAAGGGGGGGGGGGGAGAAAGAAAGAGCGAGCGAGUGAACUAAUGAUCGAGCGUGAACAAACAAAUAGAGUGCGAGAGAUUGUGAUAUCUGUCUAUACUGUGCCACUCGAGAAAAGACAAAAAAAACUCAAUCUUAAUUACAAAAAAAAAUAAACGAGAGGAUGCUGAAGCAGCGGCCACCACACACAACACUGCAAAAAAAUAAACAGAGAAAAUAAGUCAGAAUUUUGUUCAAAUAUUACUGUUGUUUUUCUAAUUUGUAUAUUUAUUAACUUAAUUGCAUUGCUGAUAUUAGUACAGGCGACCAAAUCUCGCCUAUCUUUGCUUUGCACCGAGUUCGUUCAUCGAGUUUUUUCGAAUUAAACACAACACAUACCAUUAAGAAGUGAAUAUGCGCCAGAAAAAAUAGAAUUUGUUAUUUUUUUUACGUUGAAAAGGUUAUGACGGAUUGGUUUCUUUUCCUCUCUUAACUUUUAUAAUGUUUAAAGUUUGUACAUAGACAUUGUACAUGUAUGAUUUUUAGAUAAGACAAUUAAUUAACACGUUUAGCUAUUAUAGCGAUUUGCGUUUCUUGAGAAAUCAAUUAUAAAUGGUCAAUUAUAAUUUGUUGUAUUGAUCAUACGCAUAUGUAAACAUUUGUACAAGUAAAUGUGUAUAUUAUAAUAUAAGUUUUGUUAAAUAUCAUUCUCUUGGUGUAUUAUGUGAACACUAUCGGCCGGUUUUCGAUGUCUUUUUGAAACACAAUUAGAAACGUUCUCAUAUGUAUAUAAUUACGCAUAGAAGACUACAAUUUAUUAUUACAUGACGUUUUCCACACUCACAUACACAUGCACAAACACACAAUUUCAACAUAGUUUGGUGGAAAAUUUUAAAUUCAAACGCGACGCUCGAUGAAUUUUCUCGGUGCGAGAGGGACAGAUAGAAAAAAAAGAAAGAAAUAUAACGAGGAACAUUAAAAAGUUCACUGGUAUAUGAGUGAGUGGUAAGUACAGCGACCACGUUCUCAGUGAAAAUUUAGACAUCGACUGUACGAGACAAAGUAAACACACACAAGUUUUUCUCUCCGGUCAAGCUUCGAUCGAUUAUCUCAAGUUUCUUAUCAGUGAAAGUCUGUGUGUCUCUAAAUUUCGCAAUCGAAACUUCAAUCUCCUCUCAAUCACCCCAAGACAACGACAAACGUUAAAGAAAUGAAUUUCUGCGCCGUGCAACUGUACGUAUUAAAAACAACAACAACAAAAGUAAUCAUAAAGCUACGCAUUGUGUUGACGGCUAAGUACCCUUGCGCGCCGUCGUUCGCUGACAAUACAAUUUGUUAAACAUUGUAUAAAUGAUAAAAUACUGAGUGCGCGCGAGCGUCGACGCGCGAGGAGCUACGUAGAACGUUCUGUUACUUAUAUAUUACUGAGUGUCAUUCUUUCUGAAUAAAAGAUCUUGAUCUGUGGAACGGGGAAGAACCUCGAUACGUUUGUUUACAUCCUUGCGAUCGAAUAAACUAAUGAAAUAAAAGAAAAGCAAGCGCACAAGGACGACGAGCGUUCGGGGUUCAUUUUUUCGCCUACAUACAUUGUUUCAACCAAUCACAGCUGUUAGCGCUGUUGGACCUUACCGGUCCCUUGCCGCUUCAGGCAGGCGAUUGUUUGGUCCUACCGUCUUGGACCUCGAGGCUACGUCUAAUUUUUUGUUUUCAAUGUAUGCAUCGCCAAACUACUUACACAUGGCUUAAUUCGAUUCGGUAAAGCCUCGAGAUCCGUGGAGACGCGUGGCUGGACCGAGAAACAAUAAUAUUUAUUGUACAUGGCAAUAAUUGAUUCUUGUAAAUGCUAUAUAUUCACUGAAUGACGAACGUUUGUAACGCCGCUAUAUCCGAGGUCAAUCACCAAUUUGUCUCUUCUUUUUUGUUGUUUCUUCUAAUAUUUCUUUUGUACUUGGUACGUUCAUUUUUUCUAUGAUCUUUUCCUUUUUUUCCUUUUUGCAAUUUACAAAUGUGAAAAUAUAUAUGCGAUUGCUAUUUUACACAAGCUCGGUGAUGUACACUGCUAUGAUUACCAUUUCAUACGUAUAAAGUGAGAGUGUAUUUUCUUUUUUCUUCAUUAUUUUUUUUCUCCUUUUUUCCUUUUUGUUGGAAUGUAAACCGGGUGUACUUGUUUGGUCUGAAAGAAAAAUUUAGCAUCCAUCGAAAAAGAAACAUCACUGGCUCCUUUCAGCCGACUGGGCGUCUCAAUAAAGAAGAGAGAACAAAAUCAGUUUUAAGCUUAUUACCUCUUAGUGUAUGCCUACACGUGAAAAAUCGUGUAUUUAUUGACGUAAUAAUGAAUAAAGAAAUGAAUUUGUUACAAGA
Molecule: RNA transcript, 4848 nt
Organism: Phymastichus coffea
Lineage: Eukaryota; Metazoa; Arthropoda; Insecta; Hymenoptera; Eulophidae
Gene: BuGZ
Gene name: BUB3-interacting and GLEBS motif-containing protein ZNF207
Exons: 7
Source: RefSeq, a predicted model, not a curated record